Long non-coding RNA from Telopea speciosissima, 138 nucleotides. RefSeq lists it as uncharacterized. NCBI's taxonomy places the organism in Eukaryota, Viridiplantae, Streptophyta, Magnoliopsida, Proteales, Proteaceae. The record is from RefSeq and is a predicted model, not a curated record. The transcript has 2 exons.
CUUCUCCUAAAAGCGCCAGUUGCCAAAAGGGUUUCGUGGAUUUUUACUCUCUACCCAGAAGUAGCUUUCACCUUUCGAGAACUUUGGUUUCAAGUCGCAGAGCAGAUGAAAGCAAUGGAAACUGAAGCCGCGCUCUCG